AGCGGCAGGCUUAACACAUGCAAGUCGAGGGGCAGCACGGGUAGCAAUACCUGGUGGCGACCGGCGCAAGGGUGCGUAACGCGUGAGCAACAUGCCCUAUACAGGGGGAUAAUCCAGGGAAAACUUGGUCUAAUAUCCCAUAGUAUUUAGAGGAGGCAUCUUCUAUAAAUUAAAGCUUCGGUGGUAUAGGAUUGGCUCGCGUGACAUUAGCUAGAUGGUGAGGUAACGGCUCACCAUGGCAAUGAUGUCUAGGGGUUCUGAGAGGAAGGCCCCCCACACUGGGACUGAGACACGGCCCAGACUCCUACGGGAGGCAGCAGUGAGGAAUAUUGGACAAUGGAUGGAAAUCUGAUCCAGCCAUGCCGCGUGCAGGAAGACAGCCCUAUGGGUUGUAAACUGCUUUUAUAUGGGAGCAAUAAGGUCUACGUGUAGACUGAUGAGAGUACCAUAUGAAUAAGCAUCGGCUAACUCCGUG
Molecule: ribosomal RNA, 475 nt
Filed under: uncultured bacterium
Lineage: Bacteria
Description: bacterial SSU rRNA
Rfam family: Bacterial small subunit ribosomal RNA
Source: RNAcentral